Molecule: non-coding RNA, 1143 nt
Organism: Lactuca sativa (garden lettuce)
Lineage: Eukaryota; Viridiplantae; Streptophyta; Magnoliopsida; Asterales; Asteraceae
Source: RefSeq, a predicted model, not a curated record
UUUAAAAGCUAUUUUUGGAUUUUGGAUAGAACGAAAAUUAACUUUUUGAAAAAGUUAAAAAAAACCUAACUUUUUACAAGUUUUUCAAAAAUGAUUUUUGCCUCUAAAAAAAAACUAAGCCAAAACGUCCACUUAAAAGGAAUUAGGCUUCACCCCGUUUCUUUUGUUCUGAUCUGGCAUCUAAAGCAAAGGGGAUACGAAUGCCAUAGCAUGAUAGCAGUGGACGAAGACUCGAGUAGUCGAUUGGUGAAGGGGAACUAACGAAGAUGGCGAGAAGGAAAACACGAAGCGACGGGUGCUGCAUCCGAAGGUUUUGGGUCGAUUGCUCGCAAGGGAGUGUUUACGGGGAUCGACGAACCGAAGAAGAGAAGGGAAAGGAGCAGCGGGGCUGCACUCUUGCUUCUCCGUCGGUAGGGUCCGAUGGGGAGGGUCAGAUGAGGCCGAAGAGAAGGAAAGGGGAAAACAGCGAAGUCUUCCUCGUCUCUUCCGGCUGCGAGAUGUGAGGUACGACUUCGCAAGUAGUGGUAGCAGCAAGGCGAAAAGCGUCGGACCCUUGUGGUCGAUGGGAACUGCAGAUAAGGGAGCGAGGUGCGAGGAGGUGGUUCGGUAGGAGGAACUGACGACAGUAGCAGCUCGAGUGGGGCGUUUGGUUGGUUCUUCUUCAAUAGAAAAAUGAACGGGAUCAGUAACAGGAAAGGAAGAUAGAUCAACACAAUGAUCUGAGGGGUGUUUUGUUGCUUGAGAUUGACAGGAAGAAGAUGAAGAACAACUGUGUAUGGAUUUGAUGUUUCACUUGACAGUUUCAAAAGGAAACGCACGUUUCCUUUGGAUGUUCUAUUGGGUUGAAGGAGGGGUGCACGAAAUGUGUUCAAUUGUGAUUUGCAGCAUAUAUUUGGAUGUUCUAUUGGGUUGAUUUUACUUCUACAGAUUGCACUUGUACCAUUGUGGUUGAGUGUUGUAUUGCCUAAUCCCUUUGUGUGUCCUGUUGGGUAAAUGGUCAUGUGGAAGGAACUUCUUGUUUUUGACUGUCAAUUUGAAAGUAAAGAGUAUAUGUUUCAUUUUAGUAUUUUGUAUAAUGUAUUUGAUUCAAUAUGUUUGUAAUAUGUGUGUACUGAUUUAAUUAAAUAUGUAUUUGUGUAUGAA